This 497-nucleotide ribosomal RNA is filed under the name uncultured bacterium. Its description in RNAcentral is "partial 16S ribosomal RNA". It matches the Rfam family "Bacterial small subunit ribosomal RNA", at positions 29 to 507 of the family's 1533-position model. The record is from RNAcentral.
AAUGAACGCUGGCGGCGUGCCUAAUACAUGCAAGUCGAACGGAAGCACGAAGAGCUUUCUUCCUUUGCUUACGAGUCGCGCACGGGAGUGACAUGUGGGUGACCUUGCUUUAUGGCGGGGGUAACUUCCUGGAACCGGUACUAAUUACCGCAUAUCUUUUCAACCCCAAGGUUGAAGAGUUACGGGCGUUUUUGCUUUCGCUGUUACCUGGUGCCGCUCUCCAUUAGCUAGUUGGUCAGGUAACGGCUUACCAAGGCAACGAUGCAUAGCCGACCUGAGAGGGUGAUCGGCCACACUGGAACUGAGACACGGUCCAGACUCCUACGGGAGGCAGCAGUAGGGAAUCUUGCGCAAUGGGCGAAAGCCUGACGGAGCAAUGCCGCGUGAGUGAAGAAGGCCUUCGGAUCGUAAAACUCUGUUAGUAGGGAAGAACAUAGGUGAGUGUAACUGUGCACACAUUGACGGUACCUAAUGAGAAAGCCCCGGCUAACUCCGUG